GAUGAACGCUGGCGGCGUGCCUAAUACAUGCAAGUCGAGCGAACGGACGAGAAGCUUGCUUCUCUGAUGUUAGCGGCGGACGGGUGGGUAACACGUGGAUAACCUACCUAUAAGACUGGGAUAACUUCGGGAAACCGGAGCUAAUACCGGAUAAUAUUUUGAACCGCAUGGUUCAAAAGUGAAAGACGGUCUUGCUGUCACUUAUAGAUGGAUCCGCGCUGCAUUAGCUAGUUGGUAAGGUAACGGCUUACCAAGGCAACGAUGCAUAGCCGACCUGAGAGGGUGAUCGGCCACACUGGAACUGAGACACGGUCCAGACUCCUACGGGAGGCAGCAGUAGGGAAUCUUCCGCAAUGGGCGAAAGCCUGACGGAGCAACGCCGCGUGAGUGAUGAAGGUCUUCGGAUCGUAAAACUCUGUUAUUAGGGAAGAACAUAUGUGUAAGUAACUGUGCACAUCUUGACGGUACCUAAUCAGAAAGCCACGGCUAACUAUGUG
Molecule: ribosomal RNA, 497 nt
Filed under: uncultured bacterium
Lineage: Bacteria
Description: partial 16S ribosomal RNA
Rfam family: Bacterial small subunit ribosomal RNA
Source: RNAcentral